AGGCUGAGAGGGACGGCCCACCCAACAGAAGCCACAACAGGUCCCCAAAGAAUUUCUGCAGGCUGGGACUCCUGAGUGAAAUGAAGAACUGGGAUUCAACAGAGAGAAAUGUGAAGUCUGCCAGCUAGGGAAUGAAAUGAAAGAACAAAGAGGAAAAUCUUAACCUGUACAGCCUCUUGGAAGAUGGGGUGGGAAGAAAAGACCUGCCUGCCCCACCCCCAGUUUCCUGCUGCCUGGAGAAAUCUGGAAGAUCUCCUAGGGCUUUGGAGAAUGAAGGCACCCUUGUCUGGAUGCCACCACAGCCUCCUCCCUCUCACCCCUGCCUCCUCCUCAUCUUCAGCUCACCAAGGCCAGAUUUGUCUUGCAAAGUGGCAUCAUUAUAAACACAUCAGCCUCCUCUGGACGCCUGUGCCUGCUCCCGCCAGCCCAUCCAGGCUCGAUUACAUCUGAGGCUGUCUGGGCCUCCCUUGCUUUUAGGUUGGUCACAUGACUCACUCCAGCAAAUGGGAUGUGAGCAGAAGGUAUAUAUGUUACCUGGA
Molecule: long non-coding RNA, 539 nt
Filed under: Pongo abelii (Sumatran orangutan)
Lineage: Eukaryota; Metazoa; Chordata; Mammalia; Primates; Hominidae
Description: lincRNA
Source: RNAcentral